Rhea pennata is the source of this 644-nucleotide long non-coding RNA. RefSeq lists it as uncharacterized. The record is from RefSeq and is a predicted model, not a curated record. Lineage: Eukaryota; Metazoa; Chordata; Aves; Rheiformes; Rheidae. The transcript is spliced from 3 exons.
UGAGCGCUGGGAUUACACGGCGCGGAGACAGAGCUGCGGGCUGUGUGUGCGCGCAGCGCUGGUAGUCUCCGCCUGUCUGCCUGCUAAUCGCACGUUUUCCGCUGUUAAAAAGAAACCGAGACGCUGUGGCCGAGCCCAGCGCUGUCUCUGUGACUGUGACAUGAAAAGAUGGCGCUCUCUCCCCUCCCCCAGCCUCCCUCUCGGCUUACACUUCCUCCCCAACAGCUUUUGCCUUCCAGUUUUUUAAAGCCCUCUUUUCUCCUUUCCUUCCCCCUCUCUCCCCCGGCCGGAUACCACGAGCUUCCCAGCCGAUCGCAGGGAAACCGGACACCUUCAUCAAUGACUUCUGGAGCCACUCUCCUGACGCUCGUUCUAUUUAUCGCCAUCUAACCCGAGAUAGUCCGUGAGCGCCUUGCCACAGCCCUUGGCCUAACUGGGGACGUUCGUGUGGCCAGCUGCGCCCUGCAGAAUUACCCUGCCUCACCGCUAAGGAGUGGGAGCAUUGAUUUCUGGUUCCAAGGCACUCUGUUCUAGCACUGGCUACAGCUGCGGGGCAUUUCGCAGCUGGUCUUUCGCCUAGACAAAUAUCAGCGAGAAUGUGAGCGUUAUUAGCCACAUAAAUAAAUCAUUAACGUGCACACAAA